Nycticebus coucang (slow loris) is the source of this 107-nucleotide small nuclear RNA. NCBI's taxonomy places the organism in Eukaryota, Metazoa, Chordata, Mammalia, Primates, Lorisidae. The record is from RefSeq and is a predicted model, not a curated record.
GCGCUUGAUUCAGCAGCAUAUAUACUAAAAUUGGAACGAUAUAGAGAACAUUAACAUGGCCCCUGUGCAAGGAUGACAUGCAAAUUCAUAAAGUGUUCCAUAUUUUU